RNAcentral lists this transfer-messenger RNA (396 nucleotides) under Luteibacter rhizovicinus. Its description in RNAcentral is "Standard tmRNA". It matches the Rfam family "transfer-messenger RNA". Rfam says of the family: Bacterial tmRNA, also known as 10Sa RNA or SsrA, is named for its dual tRNA and mRNA-like properties. Its role is to liberate the mRNA from a stalled ribosome. To accomplish this part of the tmRNA is used as a reading frame that ends in a translation stop signal. RNAcentral also lists the same sequence under 2 other names. Lineage: Bacteria; Pseudomonadati; Pseudomonadota; Gammaproteobacteria; Lysobacterales; Rhodanobacteraceae. The record is from RNAcentral.
GGGGAUGUUCUGGUUUCGACGGGGGUAGUGCGAUCUACUGGUGCAUGCCGAGGGGGUAGCUUUCCUCGUUAAACCAGCUGCAAAAACUAUAGUUGCCAAUGACAACUACUACGGUAAUGACGCUUCGGUGGCUCUCGCCGCCUAAAGCGUUCGGCCCCUAAAAAAGGCCCUACCCCCGAACCGAUCUUGUGCUCAUGCUCGUCGGUGUAGGGUCACUAUCAUGAGACCGCCGAAAGACUCUCCAUCUGUGGGUCUGACGCUAGAUCAAUCAGGUAUGUCCGUCGGUGCGCUUCGCACACCGUGCUGCUGGCGGACGAGAUCUAACGGUGAGCUAAGCAUGUAGAUCUGGAGAUUAAACGCCUUCGGACGCGGGUUCGACUCCCGCCAUCUCCACCA